GACUCAGCUCGUCCGCUAUUUGAUUGUCCGAUGUUGAGACGUGGAUGGCUACCGGAAAGAUGUGUUGCUGGUAGCACCACUCCCAGAGAUGGACAGCCAGAAACAGGAGGGACUUCGACUGUGUGCCUCCCUGCUUGUUGACGUAGAACAUUGUGGUGGUGUUGUCUGUUACUACUUGAAUAGCUCUGCCUCUUACAAGGGGGAGAAAGGCCCUGAGCACCUUUAUGACUGCCAACAUCUCCAGGUGAUUGAUGUGUAGUACAGACUCCUGUGGGGACCAUAAAGCAUGUAUCUGAUGGCCCUCGCAGUGGGCUCCCCAUCCCACUGGGCUGGCAUCCGUUGUCACCUGUCUCGUGAGUUGCAGACUGAAGAGAGCGCAUCUUGAGGCACGCAUGAGGCAGGGCAGCGGUUGUCGAGGCCAUGAGGCCUAGUAGGUGUUGAGCUAACCUGGCAGACACUGUCCUCCGAGGUUUGAACCUUCAAACCACCUUCCUGAUUUUUUGGAUGCGCUCUGGAGGUAGGAACAUGCGUGCAUGUACAGCAUCCAGACGUGCGCCUAUAUAGUCCAUCACCUGAGAAGGGUCCAGAUGUGACUUGUCGUAGUUGAUAGAUAGGUGCAGGGCUUGUAGGGUACGGAGGACCAGAUGAGUGUCCUCGUAUGCUUGAUUCUUGGAUUUGGACACAAUCAGUCAAUCGUCAAUGUAUGGGUAAAUCUGAAUCCCCCUCAAGCGCAGGUAAGCCGCCACCGGAGCCAUACACUUGGUGAAGGUUCUUGGCGCUGUGGACAAGCUGAACGGGAGCGCCACAAACUGGUAUAUAGUGUCUCUGAACAUCAGGCAUAGAUACUUUCUGUACUUCUUGUGGAUCGUGAUAUGGAAGUACGCAUCCUUGAGGUCCACCACAACAAACCAAUCUCCUUCUUUCAACAGGUGGAUGAUCCCUUCUAAAGUCACCAUUCUGAAGCGACGAGGUCUGAGGUAAGAGUUGAGGUCCCUCAGAUCCAAUAUAGGUCUUAGGCUGCCGUCCUUCUUGGGAACCGUAAAGUACCGGUAGUAGAACCUGUUCAGAAUGUCCCGUUGAGGUACCUUCUGGAUGGCUUGUUUUGCUAGAAGGGUGAGGAUCUCUUCCUCCAGGAUGGGGUCGAAUGAUGUAGGCCUGACCCCUCCUAGAGGGGGCAACUCUAUAAACUCCAGGCAGUAGCCUCAGCUUACAGUGUUCAAGACCCAGGUGUCCUGAGUAAUCAUGCACCAGUUGUGAAGAUAAGGAGACAGGCGUGUUGAUUGGUUGUUGGCCAGGAUGGAUAUGGGGAAGUCAAAGAUAUUGUUUCGACUUCCUGCCAAAAGGUUUGAAGGACUGACGUCUGUUAGACUGAGGUUUAAAACUUGAACCUGAGGAAGAGGCCUGAGAAGACCUUGGAGGCAGUUGGGAUCUAAAUGGGCGAUAUGUGGAUGAUGUAGCUUGCUGAAAUUGCUGUUGCUGUGGUCUAGGUCUCCACUGGAACUUAGAGGGCCUAGGCUGCUGCUGUACCGCAUAAGACUUUGCUGUUUUCUUGCUCUUAUGCAGGUUUUCCAGAUUUUCAUCUGUCUUCUCACUGAAGAGACCUGAAGCAUCAAAGGGCAGGUUCUUUAUCCUCGCCUUGAUGUCAUCUACUAUAUUCGCUGACCGCAGCCAAGCAUGCCUCCUGAGCGUAAUGAUGGAAGCAAGAUUUCUGGCAUUGGCAUCUGCAACGUGACAGGAAGCCAGGACUCUGAUGCUUGGAAAGAGUUUGCGCCUCAGCAUGAGCAUUGAGGCACAUUUGCCUAAUAUCCUCGGGUGCGACUUGAAGAGCCGGCAGCACCCUUGCCCACAAUUGUUUCUGAGGCUCAGAGGUUGCUGGUUUAGAGGACUCAGUCAACGUCGAGCUCUAGAAGAUUCUGAGAGGCCAGUGCAAGCGCUGUCUUUACCCACUGGUGGGGAUUCAUAGAGAAUGACGUUGAAGAAGUGAGUGACUUACCCCAAGAUGAUGUAGAAACAUGAAUAGAUCGUACUCGGAAGACAUAGCAGGUCCCUUUCGC
Molecule: non-coding RNA, 2054 nt
Organism: Pogona vitticeps (central bearded dragon)
Lineage: Eukaryota; Metazoa; Chordata; Lepidosauria; Squamata; Agamidae
Source: RefSeq, a predicted model, not a curated record